This 613-nucleotide ribosomal RNA is filed under the name Streptococcus mutans. Its description in RNAcentral is "bacterial SSU rRNA". It matches the Rfam family "Bacterial small subunit ribosomal RNA", at positions 367 to 971 of the family's 1533-position model. Lineage: Bacteria; Bacillati; Bacillota; Bacilli; Lactobacillales; Streptococcaceae. The record is from RNAcentral.
GGCAAUGGACGAAAGUCUGACCGAGCAACGCCGCGUGAGUGAAGAAGGUUUUCGGAUCGUAAAGCUCUGUUGUAAGUCAAGAACGUGUGUGAGAGUGGAAAGUUCACACAGUGACGGUAGCUUACCAGAAAGGGACGGCUAACUACGUGCCAGCAGCCGCGGUAAUACGUAGGUCCCGAGCGUUGUCCGGAUUUAUUGGGCGUAAAGGGAGCGCAGGCGGUCAGGAAAGUCUGGAGUAAAAGGCUAUGGCUCAACCAUAGUGUGCUCUGGAAACUGUCUGACUUGAGUGCAGAAGGGGAGAGUGGAAUUCCAUGUGUAGCGGUGAAAUGCGUAGAUAUAUGGAGGAACACCAGUGGCGAAAGCGGCUCUCUGGUCUGUCACUGACGCUGAGGCUCGAAAGCGUGGGUAGCGAACAGGAUUAGAUACCCUGGUAGUCCACGCCGUAAACGAUGAGUGCUAGGUGUUAGGCCCUUUCCGGGGCUUAGUGCCGGAGCUAACGCAAUAAGCACUCCGCCUGGGGAGUACGACCGCAAGGUUGAAACUCAAAGGAAUUGACGGGGGCCCGCACAAGCGGUGGAGCAUGUGGUUUAAUUCGAAGCAACGCGAAGAACCU